RNAcentral lists this ribosomal RNA (253 nucleotides) under uncultured bacterium. RNAcentral describes it as "partial 16S ribosomal RNA". It matches the Rfam family "Bacterial small subunit ribosomal RNA", at positions 524 to 776 of the family's 1533-position model. The record is from RNAcentral.
UACAGAGGUCCCAAGCGUUGUUCGGAUUCACUGGGCGUAAAGGGUGCGUAGGUGGCGAGGUAAGUCGGAUGUGAAAGCUCGGAGCUCAACUCCGAAAUGGCAUUGGAAACUACCUGGCUUGAGGGGUGGAAGGGGGACUGGAAUUCUCGGUGUAGCAGUGAAAUGCGUAGAUAUCGAGAGGAACACCAGUGGCGAAGGCGAGUCCCUGGACAAUACCUGACACUGAGGCACGAAAGCUAGGGGAGCAAACAGG